RNAcentral lists this ribosomal RNA (240 nucleotides) under uncultured bacterium. RNAcentral describes it as "partial 16S ribosomal RNA". It matches the Rfam family "Bacterial small subunit ribosomal RNA", at positions 678 to 916 of the family's 1533-position model. The record is from RNAcentral.
GCGGUGAAAUGCGUAGAUAUCACUUGGAACGCCAAUGGUGAAGACAGCUCGCUGGGGGUGUCCUGACGCUGAGGCGCGAAAGCCAGGGGAGCGAACGGGAUUAGAUACCCCGGUAGUCCUGGCCCUAAACGAUGUCCACUAGAUUAUGGCGGCUCUGACGCCGUCAUGGUCGGAGCAAAAGUGUUAAGUGGACCGCCUGGGAAGUACGGUCGCAAGGCUAAAACUCAAAUGAAUUGACGG